This 253-nucleotide ribosomal RNA is filed under the name uncultured bacterium. RNAcentral describes it as "partial 16S ribosomal RNA". It matches the Rfam family "Bacterial small subunit ribosomal RNA", at positions 524 to 776 of the family's 1533-position model. The record is from RNAcentral.
UACGAACGGCGCUAGCGUUGUUCGGAAUUACUGGGCGUAAAGCGCACGUAGGCGGCCUUGCAAGAUGGGGGUGAAAUCCCCGGGCUCAACCCGGGGACUGCCUUCAUGACUGCAAAGCUAGAGGAUGCGAGAGGUUAGCGGAAUUCCGAGUGUAGAGGUGAAAUUCGUAGAUAUUCGGAAGAACACCAGUGGCGAAGGCGGCUAACUGGCGCAUUUCUGACGCUGAGGUGCGAAAGCGUGGGGAGCAAACAGG